Molecule: small nuclear RNA, 104 nt
Organism: Cavia aperea (Brazilian guinea pig)
Lineage: Eukaryota; Metazoa; Chordata; Mammalia; Rodentia; Caviidae
Source: Ensembl
AGAGCCUGUGCUGCUGAGUAUACUAAAACUGGAGCUUACAGCAAAGACUACCAUGAGCCCUGUGCAAGGAUGACAUGCAAAGGCAUGAAGCGUUCUGUAUUAAA